CCUACGGGAGGCAGCAGUGAGGAAUAUUGGUCAAUGGGCGGAAGCCUGAACCAGCCAAGUAGCGUGCAGGAUGACGGCCCUACGGGUUGUAAACUGCUUUUAUACGGGAAUAACGCGCCUUACGUGUAGGGCUUUGCAUGUACCGUAUGAAUAAGGACCGGCUAAUUCCGUGCCAGCAGCCGCGGUAAUACGGAAGGUCCGGGCGUUAUCCGGAUUUAUUGGGUUUAAAGGGUGCGCAGGCGGCCUGUUAAGUCAGCGGUAAAAGCCCGGGGCUCAACCCCGGCGAGCCGUUGAAACUGGCGGGCUGGAGUUGGAGAGAAGUACGCGGAAUGCGCGGUGUAGCGGUGAAAUGCUUAGAUAUCAUACAGAACACCGAUUGCGAAGGCAGCUUACCAAGCUACUUCUGACGUUGAGGCACGAAAGCGUGGGGAGCAAACAGGAUUAGAUACCCGAGUAGUC
Molecule: ribosomal RNA, 459 nt
Filed under: uncultured bacterium
Lineage: Bacteria
Description: partial 16S ribosomal RNA
Rfam family: Bacterial small subunit ribosomal RNA
Source: RNAcentral